GCCGGGUGUGGUGUCUCACACCUGUAAUCCCAGCACUUUGGGAGGCUGAGGCGGGUGGAUCACCUGAGGUCAGGAGUUCGAGACCAGCCUGGCCAACAUGGUGAAAUUCUGUCUCUA
Pongo abelii (Sumatran orangutan) is the source of this 117-nucleotide unclassified non-coding RNA. It matches the Rfam family "Metazoan signal recognition particle RNA". From Rfam's summary of the family: The signal recognition particle (SRP) is a universally conserved ribonucleoprotein. It is involved in the co-translational targeting of proteins to membranes. The record is from Ensembl. Lineage: Eukaryota; Metazoa; Chordata; Mammalia; Primates; Hominidae.